Molecule: ribosomal RNA, 789 nt
Filed under: Paracoccaceae bacterium
Lineage: Bacteria; Pseudomonadati; Pseudomonadota; Alphaproteobacteria; Rhodobacterales; Paracoccaceae
Description: bacterial SSU rRNA
Rfam family: Bacterial small subunit ribosomal RNA
Source: RNAcentral
UGCAGUCGAGCGCGCCUUUCGGGGUGAGCGGCGGACGGGUUAGUAACGCGUGGGAAUAUACCCUUUGGUACGGAAUAGCCUCUGGAAACGGAGAGUAAUACCGUAUGAGCCCUUCGGGGGAAAGAUUUAUCGCCAAAGGAUUAGCCCGCGUUAGAUUAGGUAGUUGGUGGGGUAAUGGCCUACCAAGCCUACGAUCUAUAGCUGGUUUUAGAGGAUGAUCAGCAACACUGGGACUGAGACACGGCCCAGACUCCUACGGGAGGCAGCAGUGGGGAAUCUUGGACAAUGGGGGCAACCCUGAUCCAGCCAUGCCGCGUGAGUGAUGAAGGCCUUAGGGUCGUAAAGCUCUUUCGCCUGUGAAGAUAAUGACGGUAGCAGGUAAAGAAACCCCGGCUAACUCCGUGCCAGCAGCCGCGGUAAUACGGAGGGGGUUAGCGUUGUUCGGAAUUACUGGGCGUAAAGCGCACGUAGGCGGACUGGAAAGUUGGGGGUGAAAUCCCGGGGCUCAACCCCGGAACUGCCUCCAAAACUAUCAGUCUAGAGUUCGAGAGAGGUGAGUGGAAUUCCGAGUGUAGAGGUGAAAUUCGUAGAUAUUCGGAGGAACACCAGUGGCGAAGGCGGCUCACUGGCUCGAUACUGACGCUGAGGUGCGAAAGUGUGGGGAGCAAACAGGAUUAGAUACCCUGGUAGUCCACACCGUACACGAUGAAUGCCAGUCGUCGGGUAGCAUGCUAUUCGGUGACACACCUAACGGAUUAAGCAUUCCGCCUGGGGAGUACGGUCGCAAGA